RNAcentral lists this unclassified non-coding RNA (396 nucleotides) under Hevea brasiliensis (rubber tree). The record is from RNAcentral. Lineage: Eukaryota; Viridiplantae; Streptophyta; Magnoliopsida; Malpighiales; Euphorbiaceae.
AACAAAUGAAUUCCACAAAAUUUUGUGCGUGUUUUCGUGUUUGGAACCAGGAAAAAAAAGCAGAAUUCAAUCCUGCAGAAUUUAACAUAAUCAAAUAAAUUCCAUCAAAAUAGAGGGAAUUGCCAAGUGAAUUCCAUAGAACUUAACUAACAUGUAUUAAAUCAUGUUCAUGGCAUCAUAUAUGUAAAAUCUUGCUUAAUCCAAGUCUUGUUGAGAAAUAUUUAUGCCAUGUCAAAUUUUUUUUUUUUAAUGGCGGUUAUUGCUGAAACCAUUUGAGAUAUUUCUUUAUGUGUGUGCAAUACCGCCAAUGGCCAAGUUCCGAGAUUUAUACUAUCAUUUUUUUGGCUUUACAAUUUUUCCUGUGGAAUUCAUAUGAUUGCAAUUGCCAGAUUUUAG